RNAcentral lists this long non-coding RNA (552 nucleotides) under Lepidothrix coronata (blue-crowned manakin). RNAcentral's name for it is "lncRNA (ENSLCOG00000003376.1)". Lineage: Eukaryota; Metazoa; Chordata; Aves; Passeriformes; Pipridae. The record is from RNAcentral.
AGCCAGGUGAUUCAGGACAUUCAGGGCCAACAGGUGACACAGGCUAUCCAGGGCUUGGGUUUCCUGGAAACCCAGGGCCAAAAGGAGAUAAAGGACUUGCAGGAGGCAGAGGGGCACCAGGUUUUGAAGGAAAGGUUGGAGAUCCAGGCCGAGCUGGAAACCUAGGACAACCAGGAGAAAAGGGUGAGCCAGGCAUGGUUAUUCCUGGAGAGCCAGGUAGACUGGGUUCACCAGGAAGUCAUGGCAUUCCUGGCUCAAAAGGUGAAGGUGGACUUCCAGGACUUCCAGGUCCACCGGGGCAUCCUGGACAUGAUGGUGCUGAUGGCCUAAGAGGAGAUCGUGGCUCACCUGGAGUUCCUGGAGAUCCAGGUUUUCCAGGGAAACCUGCUGGAUGUCUUAUUGGUCUGCCAGGUUUGCCAGGUGGCCAGGGAGCUACAGGCCCACCAGGAGGAAGAGGUUCACAAGGUUCAAAAGGAAGACUAGGUCCUCCUGGCUUGAGUAUCCCAGGAAUCCAUGGGAAGCCUGGGGAACCUGGACUAAUAGGUCUUCAGG